GGAAAGUAAGAUUCGCCAUUGUGGCUUUAAUCUUUUUACUGCAAUGUUGGGGAAGCAUGAUUCGCUAUUGUGGCUUUAAUCUAUUCCACUGCACCGCCUGGGGAGUAAAAUUCGCUGUUGUAGCUUUAAUUUUUUUAACUGCAAUGUUGGGGAAGCCAGAUUCACCGUUAUGGCUUUAAUCUGUUCCACUGCACCGCCUGAGAGGUAAGACUCACUGUUGUAGCUUUAAUCUUUUUAACUGCAAUGUCAGGGAGGCAAGAUUCACCGUUAUGGCUAUAAUCUGUUCCACUGCACCGCCUGGGAGGUAAGAUUCGUUACUGUAGGUUUAAUCUUUUUAACUGCAAUGCCAGGGAGGCAAGAUUCACCGUUGUGGCUUUAAUCUGUUCCACUGCACAGCCUGAGAGGUAAGAUUCACUGCUGUAGCUUUAAUCUUUUUAACUGCAAUGUCAGGGAGGCAAGAUUCACCGUUGUGGCUUUAAUCUGUUCCACUGCACCGCCUGGGAGGUAAGAUUCACUGUUGUAGCUUUAAUCUUUUUAACUGCAAUGUCAGGGAGGCAAGAUUCACCAUUGUGGCUUUAAUCUAUUACACUGCACUGCCUGAGAGGUAAGAUUCGCUGCUGUAGCUUUAAUCUUUUUAACUACAAUGUCAGGGAGGUAAGAUUCACAGUUGUGGCUUUAAUCUGUUCCACUGCAUCGCCUGGGAGGUAAGAUUCGCUGCUGUAGCUUUAAUCUUUUUAACUGCAAUGUCAGGGAGGCAAGAUUCACCGUUGUGACUUUAAUCUGUUCCACUGCACUACCUGGGAGGUAAGAUUCACUGCUGUAGCUUUAAUAUUUUUAACUGCAAUGUCAGGGAGGCAAGAUUCACCGUUGUGGCUUUAAUCUAUUCCACUGCACCGCCUGGGAGGUAAGAUUCGCUAUUGUAGCUUUAAUCUGCAAUGUCAAGGAAGAAAGAUUUUCCGUCUUCGAUCUGCUCCGCUACUGCUUAGGGAGACAAGAUCUGUAAUUUCUGCUAUAUUCACUGAUCUGUUCUAUGGGGAACAUGACCUGUAUAAUGAACCUAAUUAUGCCUAAUGAUUAGGAUGGCAUGAUCAAAAUGAAUCAAAUGCUCCUAACUAGACAUGUGUGAAUGGUGUUUGUCUGAAUGUAGAAUUUUAUUUCUCCAAAAAUAAUCCCACUUAGGUUGUCAUUACUCGAAGUUUAUUAAGGUUUUAUGACUGGCGUGCUACAGGACCUUCCUACUUGACUGGCCUUUUC
This 1254-nucleotide long non-coding RNA is filed under the name Gossypium barbadense (sea-island cotton). RNAcentral's name for it is "long non-coding RNA (GBAR_LNC017314)". The record is from RNAcentral. Lineage: Eukaryota; Viridiplantae; Streptophyta; Magnoliopsida; Malvales; Malvaceae.